CACGUAGGGUCCGAGCGUUGUCCGGAAUUAUUGGGCGUAAAGAGCUCGUAGGCGGUUUGUCGCGUCUGCUGUGAAAACUCGGGGCUUAACUCCGGGCCUGCAGUGGGUACGGGCAGACUAGAGUGCGGUAGGGGAGACUGGAAUUCCUGGUGUAGCGGUGAAAUGCGCAGAUAUCAGGAGGAACACCGGUGGCGAAGGCGGGUCUCUGGGCCGUAACUGACGCUGAGGAGCGAAAGCGUGGGGAGCGAACAGG
This 253-nucleotide ribosomal RNA is filed under the name uncultured bacterium. RNAcentral describes it as "partial 16S ribosomal RNA". It matches the Rfam family "Bacterial small subunit ribosomal RNA", at positions 524 to 776 of the family's 1533-position model. The record is from RNAcentral.